AUAUCAGUCAUGCAUAGCAUAUCAAUAAGCGGAGGAAAAGAAACUAACAAGGAUUCCCUUAGUAACGGCGAGUGAAGCGGGAAGAGCUCAAAUUUGAAAUCUUCAAGGUUCUACCUUGACGGAUUGUAGUUUAAAGAAGUGUUUUCUGUUGGAGUUUUGGUAAAAGUUCUUUGGAAUAGGACAUCAUAGAGGGUGAGAAUCCCGUAUUUGACCAUUACUUUCCAGCUGUGUGAUACACUUUCAAAGAGUCGGAUCGUUUGGGAAUGCAGUCCAAAAUGGGUGGUAAAUUUCAUCUAAAGCUAAAUAUUGGCGAGAGACCGAUAGCGAACAAGUACCGUGAGGGAAAGAUGAAAAGAACUUUGAAAAGAGAGUUAAACAGUACGUGAAAUUGUCAAAGGGGAAGCGUUUGACACCAGUGUUGUUUUUCCGAAAAUCAAUUACGAAUGUUUUAUUUUUGAGGAGUUAUGACUUCAUCGGCUUGCUCCUUUCUUUAUGAAACUUUCUUAAUGCACUUUUCGGUUAACAAGUCAACAUCAAUUUCUUUUGUUGUAAAAGGGUAUGAGGAAGGUGGCUUUCUUUUCGGAGAAAGUGUUUAUAGCCUUGUGCCUCUGCAAUCGGAGAGAUUGAGGUCUGCAGCGUAGAUCCUUCGGGGUUAGAUACAUUUGUGCUAAGUUAUAGCUUUUCAUAGACAACUUGUUGACUAUGUUUAGUCUUGUAGCUUACUCGCUGACGCUAUUUUACCUACGCUUAGGAUGUUGAUCUCUCACAGUCGAGC
This 775-nucleotide ribosomal RNA is filed under the name uncultured Neocallimastigales. RNAcentral's name for it is "partial large subunit ribosomal RNA". It matches the Rfam family "Eukaryotic large subunit ribosomal RNA", at positions 22 to 645 of the family's 3401-position model. The record is from RNAcentral. Lineage: Eukaryota; Fungi; Neocallimastigomycota; Neocallimastigomycetes; Neocallimastigales.